UAAUAUUCAAUGCUAGGAGGUGCAGCAUCAGCAAAUGGGCUCCUAUUGUAACUGGAGUGUCCACUCAAAGACAAUCCUUCAACUAUCUGUUCAUAAUAUCAGACUUUUUUCAUGCUGGGCCUUCAAAAUUUAUUGGUGUAGUUACAUUUUGGUAAAACCAAGUUAACAGAGAACAAUGGCUGCCAAAAGACAAUUGUAGCUAUUACUCUCUACAAACAAUUACCUUAAUAUACCUUCAGGGAUAUUGCUGCAUUUAUGCUACACUCGUGAGAAGGGCUACUUAUUUCUGCGUUUGUGGUUUGUGUCCCUUUGGAGACCAGUGAGAUGACUUUUUUUUUUUUUCUUAACCCUCUCUGUGAGGUGUUGUUCUUUAUUGGUGACGACCUUAAGGUUAGGCAUUUGAGGUUUUUCUUUGAUGAUCCUUAAAAAUGCUAACUCUUUUAACCUUAGUGACAAAAAAAUUGCAACCUGCUGUAAAAAUAUGACUAUAUACUAUUUGCGUUCUAAACUAUUAUCUUUUAAAACUACUUAAGCCUGAAAUAUACAUAUAAAAAAAUAAUUACAAUUCAUUUUAUUUUAACCCUUUGAAGUUCAGUUUGUUUACAUAGCUUAUUUUUAUUAGAAGCUGAGAUGGGUUAGUGAUUUCAGCCACACUGAUUUUUGUGCAUUAUUUUUCUCUACAGUGUCAGAUUCUUUUUUUUUUUCAUACUAAUGAAAAACAUGCCACCUUCCCACAAAUGGCUUUUUUGCCUUUAAAUGACAUAGUCUUUUGAAAGUACUUCAGAUGAGCAUCCCUACAUAAGUCUGCAGUUCCUCUGUAUCUACAUAAGCAACUGAAUGUUUCUCAUGCUGAUUUAUCAUGGCUACAACUUGCUUCUGGAUGUCAUCCAUCAGCAGCAGUGCAUAGCUGGUGGCAUGGUGUGUAGGUCCCAGGAUCAAACCUCUGACUGAUGGGACAUAGCAUUGCAGUUAUUGUGGAAGACCAAAGUAGGGAAAUGACAGGGCCGUGCAGAGAUGUUUGAAGGGACAGGUGCUCAAAGUUAAAAAGGAGCACAUAAAACCAGGCUAAAUAACAACAACCC
Long non-coding RNA from Astatotilapia calliptera (eastern happy), 1082 nucleotides. The record is from Ensembl. NCBI's taxonomy places the organism in Eukaryota, Metazoa, Chordata, Actinopteri, Cichliformes, Cichlidae.